UAGGGAAUCUUCCGCAAUGGGCGAAAGCCUGACGGAGCAACGCCGCGUGAGUGAUGAAGGUCUUCGGAUCGUAAAACUCUGUUAUUAGGGAAGAACAAAUGUGUAAGUAACUAUGCACGUCUUGACGGUACCUAAUCAGAAAGCCACGGCUAACUACGUGCCAGCAGCCGCGGUAAUACGUAGGUGGCAAGCGUUAUCCGGAAUUAUUGGGCGUAAAGCGCGCGUAGGCGGUUUUUUAAGUCUGAUGUGAAAGCCCACGGCUCAACCGUGGAGGGUCAUUGGAAACUGGAAAACUUGAGUGCAGAAGAGGAAAGUGGAAUUCCAUGUGUAGCGGUGAAAUGCGCAGAGAUAUGGAGGAACACCAGUGGCGAAGGCGACUUUCUGGUCUGUAACUGACGCUGAUGUGCGGAAGCGUGGGGAUCAAACAGG
RNAcentral lists this ribosomal RNA (429 nucleotides) under Actinomycetes bacterium. RNAcentral's name for it is "Actinobacteria bacterium partial 16S ribosomal RNA". It matches the Rfam family "Bacterial small subunit ribosomal RNA", at positions 355 to 776 of the family's 1533-position model. Lineage: Bacteria; Bacillati; Actinomycetota; Actinomycetes. The record is from RNAcentral.